GCGGGUAUAGCUCAGUGGUAGAGCGCGCGCUUAGCAUCCACGAGGUCCUGGGUUCAGUCCUCAGUAUCUUUU
RNAcentral lists this transfer RNA (72 nucleotides) under Camelus bactrianus (Bactrian camel). It matches the Rfam family "tRNA". Rfam says of the family: Transfer RNA (tRNA) molecules are approximately 80 nucleotides in length. Lineage: Eukaryota; Metazoa; Chordata; Mammalia; Artiodactyla; Camelidae. RNAcentral also lists the same sequence under 2 other names. The record is from Rfam by way of RNAcentral.